This 1712-nucleotide long non-coding RNA is filed under the name Lactuca sativa (garden lettuce). RNAcentral describes it as "long non-coding RNA (LSAT_LNC008222)". Lineage: Eukaryota; Viridiplantae; Streptophyta; Magnoliopsida; Asterales; Asteraceae. The record is from RNAcentral.
UCGACUUGUACUAGAUUUUGUUUCAAUCAUUGUCAUUUCAGCUUCCACACGUCUCUUCCAUGUGCUGACUAGACUUCUUGCUUUCUUCUGAAUCUCUGAAUUUUUAUGGCUUCUUAAAUGAUUCACAGAUUUCCCAACAUUACAAGUCUGUAAAGCAUGAAGAUUCACAGGUAACCUAUCAAGGGCACGAAGUAGAGAAAAAAGAAAAUCUUCAACAGAUUUAUCGUUUUCUUUUGGACUCCCAUUCCCAUCGCCGAUUUUACCCUUGUGGAUUUCUUGAAGCCAUUCAUCCAAAACUGACAAACCCCUUAAUUGAACAAACCGAGUUAAAUAAUCAAAUCUUUCAGUAACUGAUAUGACAUCAACAAGCAUUGUUCGGGAAGAUAAGUCGAGUUUUUUGUCGGUGUUUUCGGGUCUCAUGAGUUGGAUUAGUUUUUCAACUCCUUGGAAAUCCAUCAAUCCUCCUUUAUCAGUGAUUUUGGAAAUUUCGGUUUUUAUUAUGUGUUCAGGUCUAAGUUGACCAGAAUNAAGAAUCUUCAGGUAAAGGAGGGGAACAUGCCACGUCAGAUCUUGAGAUUUCACCAGCUGCCACGCUGGCAAGAAGAUUCAUUCCACCAUCAUCACCCAUUGAAGGUGACACUGAGACACUAGCUUCAGAAAACUUAGCACAGCUUUCUACUAACGCGUUUAUAGAGCUAUAAGAAGGUUCAUAUAAUUUCCCUGGUUUUGGAGUGACCCCAGAUGAAGAACCACCAUGUUCAUCAGGUAACACAACAGUCACAGUUGCUGACUUGGCAUCAUCACAGCCCUCCAUUCCAUCUUUCCCAUCUGUAUCCAUUUUUUCCACAUUGCUCUGUAAAGAAUCGUUUACAGUUUUUCCACUUGUCUUUUGAUCUUGCUUCUCAGAAGGUGCCACAACACUUUGGUUGUUUCCAUUAUCUACAAUGGACACAUCAGACACAUGUCCAGCUCCUUUCUCAUUACCAAAAUUCCGGAUUUUUCCAAGAUUACCCUUUUCAUUUCCUGGAGUUGUGGAGCCAUGGAAACCAUUGCUUGAGUUCCUGCUAUUGUAAACACUACCAGUCUUCCCAUGAUCACUAGAGCAAGAUUGACUGUUGUUUGGAGAAUGAGUGGUGCUUGAACUCCUACCUUCUUUAGUUCCAGAUGAAGGCAUGUCCGAGGAUCCACCACCACCUCCACCACCGCCACCGCCAGUUGCCGCCAGUUUAUCGGCGGGAGAUUUGGCGGCAGGUUCACCGGAAUUAUUAUUAUUAUUAUUAACUUUCGGUUGUUGUGGAGAUUUUAAAGGGGAAGGUUGAGAGGUGGAAGUAGAACGUCUGUUUCCUAAAUGAGAAACAUCAGACAUCAUUGAUUUACUUGGCCAUGAGCCACCUCGACUUGUACUAGAUUUUGUUUCAAUCAUUGUCAUUUCAGCUUCCACACGUCUCUUCCAUGUGCUGACUAGACUUCUUGCUUUCUUCUGAAUCUCUGAAUUUUUAUGGCUUCUUAAAUGAUUCACAGAUUUCCCAACAUUACAAGUCUGUAAAGCAUGAAGAUUCACAGGUAACCUAUCAAGGGCACGAAGUAGAGAAAAAAGAAAAUCUUCAACAGAUUUAUCGUUUUCUUUUGGACUCCCAUUCCCAUCGCCGAUUUUACCCUUGUGGAUUUCUUGAAGCCAUUCAUCCAAAACUGACAAACCCCUUAAUUGAACA